CUGCGACCACAAUCUCGCUAUUAGCAACUCUCUUUCUCUCUGAUUUUUUCAUAAUUAGAAAUAUAAUUAAGUUAUAUUUAAGUUAUUACACUUUUUCUAACUUAGCACGUAUUUGAAUUUGAAGCCAAUUAUAUACGAAUCCAUCAGCACCAUACAAGUAAUUGCAGGAUCCAUUUUAUCAACAUGAUUCUCUAUUCGAAUCCUUCUUGAGAAAUCGCAUUGCACAUGUGUAGAAAUAUUUGUAUUCAAAUUGAACAUUUGAUUAAGUAUGAAAAGAUUGAAGUUUAUGCUCUCGAGAAGAGCGCUCGUAUUAAGUUUUCGUGUGAAUAUUUAAUGUAUAUUUAUGCAAAUUAUUUUAAGCUUCAAGGUAAGUAAAUGAUAAUGUAUGAAAAAGUAUUUUUCUUCAUAAAUUUUAAUACAGUAAUAUUACUUUAAAUUGUAGUAUAAUAUAAUUUUUAAUGUGAUGAUUUAAUUACACAAAUCGACGUUGUGUAAGAUUUAUUUGAAAAUAUUAAUAACUGAGGAAAUAUAGAAUUUUCAUAUCAUUUAAAAUAGAUGAUAUUUAUUGUCCAUAUGAAAUUUAUUUUUUUCAUUUUUCAUUCUUCGUCCUGUGCGUAUUAAGAGGGUUUUUUUUUUUCAUGGGUUCGACGAGACUUACAAUGAGGACGGUCGAGUGGUGAGGUACUGGGCCAAAUAUAUCCAGGACAGACUUUCCUGGAAAAAUUCCUGGAGCUACUCGUCUGGAUUCGACUUCGGAUUCCCCAGAGUGCUAUAUGACAAUUUUAUUUCAAUCCAGAGAUUUUCUGUUGGGAAACUACCUUUGGAAUUUAAACUGAAGAUGAAUGACUUUAUGAAAAGAUUUGGAAAGAUUCCUCUGGGAAUAUCUAUGGGAGGAUUCUUUUACAUCAAAAAACAUUUUGUAAUAAGGGUGGUAAGUGGACUGUAUUCCAUAUUUUCUUCUUUUAUUCAGAUAAGUGGAAAGAUGGAACAGAAAAAAGUUUGUGAUCCUCUUCAAAUUCUGAAGUUGGAGAAAUUAUAAAUUAAAAAGCUACGAAGAAUAUUUAUAAUGAACAAUGUGAUUUAAUAAUAGGAAAAACAUUUUAUUAUGAAAUUCAUUCCAAUCACUGUUUCUCUUUAGAGUUAACAGUGGCCGAGGGGUUAAUGGAUUAAAAUACUGUAUACUUCAUUUAAAAAGUUCUAUUCAUUUAAUUAAUAUGGCUAAGACUGUCAAGAGUUAUUAUUUCAUUCAUGUAAUAAUGCUUCAUUCAAGAUUUUUUGGCUCCAUCUUACAGUUUGUUAUAAGAAAGUCUGUACAUUGUCCGUAUAUUAUUAAUUAUUAUAAAAUGUGGAUUAGAUUAGACUGUAGUGAUGAGUUUUAUUUAAUAAAAAAUUGUUAAU
Centruroides sculpturatus (bark scorpion) is the source of this 1398-nucleotide long non-coding RNA. RefSeq lists it as uncharacterized. Lineage: Eukaryota; Metazoa; Arthropoda; Arachnida; Scorpiones; Buthidae. The record is from RefSeq and is a predicted model, not a curated record. The transcript has 4 exons.